CUACGUGCCAGCAGCCGCGGUAAUACGGAAGGUUCGGGCGUUAUCCGGAUUUAUUGGGUUUAAAGGGAGCGUAGGCCGGAGAUUAAGUGUGUCGUGAAAUGUAGACGCUCAACGUCUGACUUGCAGCGCAUACUGGUUUCCUUGAGUACGCACAACGUUGGCGGAAUUCGUCGUGUAGCGGUGAAAUGCUUAGAUAUGACGAAGAACUCCGAUUGCGAAGGCAGCUGACGGGAGCGCCACUGACGCUUAAGCUCGAAGGUGCGGGUAUCGAACAGGAUUAGAUACCCUGGUAGUCCGCACAGUAAACGAUGGAUGCCCGCUGUUGGUACCUGGUAUCAGCGGCUAAGCGAAAGCAUUAAGCAUCCCACCUGGGGAGUACGCCGGCAACGGUGAAACUCAAAGGAAUUGACGGGGGCCCGCACAAGCGGAGGAACAUGUGGUUUAAUUCGAUGAUACGCGAGGAACCUUACCCGGGCUUGAA
RNAcentral lists this ribosomal RNA (481 nucleotides) under uncultured bacterium. Its description in RNAcentral is "bacterial SSU rRNA". It matches the Rfam family "Bacterial small subunit ribosomal RNA", at positions 501 to 985 of the family's 1533-position model. The record is from RNAcentral.